RNAcentral lists this ribosomal RNA (428 nucleotides) under uncultured bacterium. RNAcentral describes it as "partial 16S ribosomal RNA". It matches the Rfam family "Bacterial small subunit ribosomal RNA", at positions 354 to 796 of the family's 1533-position model. The record is from RNAcentral.
GUGGGGAAUAUUGGGCAAUGGGCGCAAGCCUGACCCAGCAACGCCGCGUGAAGGAAGAAGGCUUUCGGGUUGUAAACUUCUUUUACCAGGGACGAAACAAAUGACGGUACCUGGUGAAUAAGCCACGGCUAACUACGUGCCAGCAGCCGCGGUAAUACGUAGGUGGCGAGCGUUAUCCGGAUUUAUUGGGUGUAAAGGGCGUGUAGGCGGGACAGCAAGUCAGAUGUGAAAACCCGAGGCUCAACCUCUGGCCUGCAUUUGAAACUGUUGUGCUUGAGUGUCGGAGAGGUAAUCAGAAUUCCGUGUGUAGCGGUGAAAUGCGUAGAUAUACGGAGGAACACCAGUGGCGAAGGCGGAUUACUGGACGAUAACUGACGCUGAGGCGCGAAAGCGUGGGGAGCAAACAGGAUUAGAAACCCCGGUAGUCC